Molecule: long non-coding RNA, 432 nt
Organism: Homo sapiens (human)
Lineage: Eukaryota; Metazoa; Chordata; Mammalia; Primates; Hominidae
Product: long intergenic non-protein coding RNA 1503
Source: Ensembl
CAUUCGAGGCGACGGGCUCCGGGCCCUGAUAGAUGGGGUGCGGGGACGGAGACAAAUGACGGCCUUUGGGCUCGGAAUACCCACCUUUCUGGUAAUGCAGCCCAGCGGGUCCCAGCCUCGUUUUCCAGCCCUCACUCAAAAUGGAGUCGCUCUGGUUCGAACGCCUCUGACAAGUGUGUACCUACGUGUCAGGAGACCGGAUUUUGCCAUGUUGGCCAGGCUGGUCUUGAACUCCUGACCUCAAGUGAUCCACCUGCCUCGGCCUCCCAAAGUGCAGGGAUUACAGGUGUGAGCCACUGCACCCGGCCUCAGGCAGGUAUUUUUACCAGCCGAAUACUCUUGCACUGUGCACUCUUCGUGUUCAUCAUCAGUCCCCCGGAUGGGUGUUUAAGGCAUUUCCAAAGCUCUGUUAUUAAAAACACGAUGCAAUGA